This 202-nucleotide ribosomal RNA is filed under the name Moraxella bovis. RNAcentral's name for it is "partial 23 S ribosomal RNA". It matches the Rfam family "Bacterial large subunit ribosomal RNA", at positions 1440 to 1644 of the family's 2925-position model. Lineage: Bacteria; Pseudomonadati; Pseudomonadota; Gammaproteobacteria; Moraxellales; Moraxellaceae. The record is from RNAcentral.
GAUACUUGUUUAUGAUGCGAUGGAGGGACGGAGAAGGUUAUGUCAGCCUGGCGUUGGUUGUCCAGGUGAAAGGAUGUAGGUAGGUUUAGUAGGCAAAUCCGCUAGACUAUUACUGAGAUCUGAUAGCAAGCCAGUUUACUGGCAAAGUGGCAAAUACCCUGCUUCCAGGAAAAGCUUCUAAGCGAUAGUCAUAAAGAAAUCG